RNAcentral lists this ribosomal RNA (587 nucleotides) under Fusarium sporotrichioides. RNAcentral describes it as "partial large subunit ribosomal RNA". It matches the Rfam family "Eukaryotic large subunit ribosomal RNA", at positions 40 to 650 of the family's 3401-position model. The record is from RNAcentral. Lineage: Eukaryota; Fungi; Ascomycota; Sordariomycetes; Hypocreales; Nectriaceae.
AUAUCAAUAAGCGGAGGAAAAGAAACCAACAGGGAUUGCCCUAGUAACGGCGAGUGAAGCGGCAACAGCUCAAAUUUGAAAUCUGGCUCUCGGGCCCGAGUUGUAAUUUGUAGAGGAUGACUUUGAUGCGGUGCCUUCCGAGUUCCCUGGAACGGGACGCCAUAGAGGGUGAGAGCCCCGUCUGGUUGGAUGCCAAAUCUCUGUAAGUCUCCUUCGACGAGUCGAGUAGUUUGGGAAUGCUGCUCUAAAUGGGAGGUAUAUGUCUUCUAAAGCUAAAUACCGGCCAGAGACCGAUAGCGCACAAGUAGAGUGAUCGAAAGAUGAAAAGCACUUUGAAAAGAGAGUUAAAAAGUACGUGAAAUUGUUGAAAGGGAAGCGUUUAUGACCAGACUUGGGCUUGGUUAAUCAUCUGGGGUUCUCCCCAGUGCACUUUUCCAGUUCAGGCCAGCAUCAGUUUUCGCCGGGGGAUAAAGACUUCGGGAAUGUGGCUCCUCUCGGGGAGUGUUAUAGCCCGUUGUGUAAUACCCUGGUGGGGACUGAGGUUCGCGCUUCUGCAAGGAUGCUGGCGUAAUGGUCAUCAACGACCC